This is a Y RNA of Pongo abelii (Sumatran orangutan), 96 nucleotides long. It matches the Rfam family "Y RNA". Rfam says of the family: Y RNAs are components of the Ro ribonucleoprotein particle (Ro RNP), in association with Ro60 and La proteins. The record is from Ensembl. NCBI's taxonomy places the organism in Eukaryota, Metazoa, Chordata, Mammalia, Primates, Hominidae.
GGCUGGUCUGAUGGUAGUGGGUUAUCAGAGCUUAUUAACGUUAGUGUCACUGCAGUUGGUAUACAAACCCCCACUGCUAAAUUUGACUGGCUUUAA